RNAcentral lists this ribosomal RNA (426 nucleotides) under uncultured bacterium. RNAcentral describes it as "bacterial SSU rRNA". It matches the Rfam family "Bacterial small subunit ribosomal RNA", at positions 354 to 772 of the family's 1533-position model. The record is from RNAcentral.
GUGGGGAAUAUUGGACAAUGGGCGCAAGCCUGAUCCAGCAAUGCCGCGUGUGUGAAGAAGGCCUUCGGGUUGUAAAGUACUUUCAGCGGGGAGGAAGGCGAUGCGGUUAAUAACCGCGUCGAUUGACGUUACCCGCAGAAGAAGCACCGGCUAACUCCGUGCCAGCAGCCGCGGUAAUACGGAGGGUGCAAGCGUUAAUCGGAAUUACUGGGCGUAAAGCGCACGCAGGCGGUCUGUUAAGUCAGAUGUGAAAUCCCCGGGCUUAACCUGGGAACUGCAUUUGAAACUGGCAGGCUUGAGUCUUGUAGAGGGGGGUAGAAUUCCAGGUGUAGCGGUGAAAUGCGUAGAGAUCUGGAGGAAUACCGGUGGCGAAGGCGGCCCCCUGGACAAAGACUGACGCUCAGGUGCGAAAGCGUGGGGAGCAAA